This 251-nucleotide unclassified non-coding RNA is filed under the name Cryptoporus sp. Its description in RNAcentral is "partial contains 5.8S ribosomal RNA, internal transcribed spacer 2, and large subunit ribosomal RNA". The stretch from base 1 to 52 matches the Rfam family "5.8S ribosomal RNA", at positions 103 to 154 of the family's 154-position model. RNAcentral also lists the same sequence under 1 other name. Lineage: Eukaryota; Fungi; Basidiomycota; Agaricomycetes; Polyporales; Polyporaceae. The record is from RNAcentral.
AACGCACCUUGCACCCUCUGGUAUUCCGGAGGGUAUGCCUGUCUGAGUGUCUUGUAGACUCAAUCCCCCGGGUUUCCGGGUGAUUGGAUUUGGAUGUUGCCUCCUCGGCUCGUCUUAAAUGUGUUAGCGGCACGAGCGCCCGUUGGACGAAUUAAGUUCCGUCUCUCGAAGCGUCACCGGCCGCUCAUAACCGCCCUUGGGCACCUUUUGACUCUGACCUCAGAUCAGGUAGGACUACCCGCUGAACUUAA